RNAcentral lists this transfer RNA (73 nucleotides) under Propionibacteriaceae bacterium. RNAcentral describes it as "tRNA-Val". It matches the Rfam family "tRNA". Rfam says of the family: Transfer RNA (tRNA) molecules are approximately 80 nucleotides in length. Lineage: Bacteria; Bacillati; Actinomycetota; Actinomycetes; Propionibacteriales; Propionibacteriaceae. The record is from RNAcentral.
GGGCGCAUAGCUCAGUUGGUAGAGCACCUGCCUUACAAGCAGGCGGUCAUCGGUUCGAGUCCGGUUGCGCCCA